This 448-nucleotide ribosomal RNA is filed under the name uncultured Gemmatimonadota bacterium. RNAcentral describes it as "bacterial SSU rRNA". It matches the Rfam family "Bacterial small subunit ribosomal RNA", at positions 341 to 792 of the family's 1533-position model. The record is from RNAcentral. Lineage: Bacteria; Pseudomonadati; Gemmatimonadota.
ACGGGAGGCAGCAGUGGGGAAUAUUGCGCAAUGGGCGAAAGCCUGACGCAGCGACGCCGCGUGUGGGAUGACGGCCUUCGGGUUGUAAACCACUGUCGGGAGGGACGAAUGCGCCGCAAGGCGAGUGACGGUACCUCCAAAGGAAGCACCGGCUAACUCCGUGCCAGCAGCCGCGGUAAUACGGAGGGUGCGAGCGUUGUCCGGAAUCACUGGGCGUAAAGGGCGCGUAGGCGGCCUGGUAAGUAGGGGGUGAAAUCCUGCGGCUUAACCGCAGGGCUGCCUUCUAAACUGUCAGGCUCGAGCACGGUAGAGGCAGAUGGAAUUCCCGGUGUAGCGGUGGAAUGCGUAGAGAUCGGGAAGAACAUCAGUGGCGAAGGCGGUCUGCUGGGCCGUUGCUGACGCUGAGGCGCGACAGCGUGGGGAGCAAACAGGAUUAGAUACCCUGGUA